Molecule: ribosomal RNA, 407 nt
Filed under: uncultured bacterium
Lineage: Bacteria
Description: bacterial SSU rRNA
Rfam family: Bacterial small subunit ribosomal RNA
Source: RNAcentral
UGGGGAAUAUUGCACAAUGGGGGGAACCCUGAUGCAGCAACGCCGCGUGAAGGAAGAAGUAUUUCGGUAUGUAAACUUCUAUCGACAGGGAAGAAAGAAAUGACGGUACCUGAAUAAGAAGCCCCGGCUAAUUACGUGCCAGCAGCCGCGGUAAUACGUAAGGGGCAAGCGUUAUCCGGAUUUACUGGGUGUAAAGGGUGAGUAGGCGGCAGAGCAAGUCAUAUGUGAAAUUCCGGGGCUUAACCCCGGAGCUGCAUAAGAAACUGUUUUGCUGGAGUGCGGGAGAGGCAAGCGGAAUUCCCAGUGUAGCGGUGAAAUGCGUAGAUAUUGGGAAGAACACCGGUGGCGAAGGCGGCUUGCUGGACCGUAACUGACGCUGAGUCACGAAAGCGUGGGGAGCGAACAGG